Molecule: ribosomal RNA, 253 nt
Filed under: uncultured bacterium
Lineage: Bacteria
Description: partial 16S ribosomal RNA
Rfam family: Bacterial small subunit ribosomal RNA
Source: RNAcentral
UACGGGGGGGGCAAGCGUUGUUCGGAAUUACUGGGCGUAAAGGGCUCGUAGGUGGCCAACUAAGUCAGACGUGAAAUCCCUCAGCUUAACUGGGGAACUGCGUCUGAUACUGGAUGGCUUGAGUUUGGGAGAGGGAUGCGGAAUUCCAGGUGUAGUGGUGAAAUACGUAGAUAUCUGGAGGAACACCGGUGGCGAAGGCGGCUAUCUGGCCAUGUACUGACGCUGAGACACGAAAGCGUGGGGAGCGAACAGG